Molecule: non-coding RNA, 300 nt
Organism: Callithrix jacchus (white-tufted-ear marmoset)
Lineage: Eukaryota; Metazoa; Chordata; Mammalia; Primates; Cebidae
Source: Rfam
GCUGGGCGGGGUGGCGCCUGCCUGUAGUCCCAGCUACUCGGGAGGCUGAGGUGGAAGGAUUGCUUGAGCCCAGGAGUUCAGGGCUGCAGUGCGCUAGGCCAAUCGGGUGUCCGCACUAAGUUCAGCAUCAAUAUGGUGACCUCCCGGGAGCGGAGGACCACCAGGUUGCCUAAGGAGGGGUGAACCGGCCCAAGUCGGAAAUGAAGCAGGUCAGAACUCCCAAGUUAAUCAGUAGUGGGAUGGCGCCUGUGAAUAGCCACUGCACUCCAGCCUGGGCAACAUAGCAAGACCCCAUCUCUU